RNAcentral lists this transfer RNA (64 nucleotides) under Dipodomys ordii (Ord's kangaroo rat). It matches the Rfam family "tRNA", at positions 1 to 62 of the family's 71-position model. Rfam says of the family: Transfer RNA (tRNA) molecules are approximately 80 nucleotides in length. Their secondary structure includes four short double-helical elements and three loops (D, anti-codon, and T loops). Lineage: Eukaryota; Metazoa; Chordata; Mammalia; Rodentia; Heteromyidae. The record is from Rfam by way of RNAcentral.
GGGAAGUUGACUCAGUGGUAGAGUGUUUGCCUUGCAUGCAAAAAGCCCUGGGUUAGAUUCCCCA